AUGACAGUCAUUUUCAGCUCAGAGUCAGAUAGGCAGAGAGGCUCCCUGCAAGACCUCCCUGCAACCAACAUCCCUCUUCCCCACCACAAAGGUUACUGAGAUUCCAGCUGAACUUCAGUCAUGAAGAUCCUUCAUUGCCUCUCUGCUGCCAUCUUACUAUUAUUAUGGACUGUUCAAGAAGACAGCCCUGCAGAAGCCACGCUUCUUACUUGCUCCUCCAUGGGAGGGUACUGCAUUCACCCAGUCAAUCAGACCUGCCAUUCGGGUCUAUUCCUGGAUGUGCCCUGCCAUUUCAAAAGAGUCUGCUGCUCCAAGGUAGCUCAAUAGCCUUCAUGCGCAUCCUCACCCAUCUCACCUGUUCUUCGAGUCGGCUGCUGGAAGCUCAGCUGCAAUGACUUCUGUCAGCAAGGCCUUCCUUUCCAUUCUGAAACAGCACUUGGGAACAACCAGCAUUGAUUGUUCAGGCCUCAUCUAAGAUUUUGUUUCAGUCAUAUUUUCAUGUAUCUAUGCUUGGCAAAUAAAGUUCCCCUGUGGAAGG
Molecule: long non-coding RNA, 538 nt
Organism: Zootoca vivipara (common lizard)
Lineage: Eukaryota; Metazoa; Chordata; Lepidosauria; Squamata; Lacertidae
Source: RefSeq, a predicted model, not a curated record